This 66-nucleotide transfer RNA is filed under the name Porocottus allisi. RNAcentral's name for it is "tRNA-Cys". It matches the Rfam family "tRNA". From Rfam's summary of the family: Transfer RNA (tRNA) molecules are approximately 80 nucleotides in length. Their secondary structure includes four short double-helical elements and three loops (D, anti-codon, and T loops). Lineage: Eukaryota; Metazoa; Chordata; Actinopteri; Perciformes; Cottidae. The record is from RNAcentral.
AGCCCCAAGGUGUUAAACAUAUAAGAUUGCAAAUCUUGAGAGGCAGGCUAACACCUGCUGGGGCUU